RNAcentral lists this ribosomal RNA (120 nucleotides) under uncultured bacterium. RNAcentral describes it as "partial 16S ribosomal RNA". It matches the Rfam family "Bacterial small subunit ribosomal RNA", at positions 796 to 914 of the family's 1533-position model. The record is from RNAcentral.
CACACCGUAAACGUUGGGCACUAGGUGUGGGGAGGAUCAACCCUUUCCGUGCCGUAGCUAACGCAUUAAGUGCCCCGCCUGGGGAGUACGGCCGCAAGGCUAAAACUCAAAGGAAUUGAC